Long non-coding RNA from Dalotia coriaria, 1633 nucleotides. RefSeq lists it as uncharacterized. NCBI's taxonomy places the organism in Eukaryota, Metazoa, Arthropoda, Insecta, Coleoptera, Staphylinidae. The transcript has 2 exons. The record is from RefSeq and is a predicted model, not a curated record.
AUUGCGCCGAAGAAACGCAUUUACACUGCGUAGAUCAACUAUUUAAAUAAUCUAGAUAAGAUUACAUUUCGACCUAGCUGUGAUAAACGGUGAAAAGUAGUAGUGGUUAAGGAGUUAUUUCGUUCAUACCCAUGUCUUCAACGAGGCGAAGCAUCACUCCUCCAAUGUGCAAAUCCCCCUUGACCCGAAUCAUCCGUUCGGUGUUCAGUUCGGUGACAAACACGCGGAGGUCCCACGAGCCGUCGCCGAUAACUUGACCGUUGGAGAGCAUUUUGGACGCCCUGCUCAAUUAACGCGCGGUGAGAUCAAAACGCAAUCCGGCCAUGCAGACCUAAGCACUAGUAUUUUCCGGCGGCGUGUCGCCGUAUAUGCUUGGCACUUCUAGCGACAGACAGCAGUUGUUCGCUGAUUCGCGAACAAACACACUCGACCGAUAAACUCUACGUAGAUAGUCAGGCGGCGUGUCUACGUCGCGAUUAAAAAAAAUUACCGAACGUUUCGCGCACAACACGCAACCAGCGUUUGCGAUAGUUUGCAGGCGGGAUGGUGCACGGCGGGUUCUGCCAGCUCCACCGCACUUCACUUGGAGUGAGGGAACGGGAACUCAAUUACAGAACGAGGUAAAUAAAAUGGCAGCCGAGGGGCGCCGCACAGCUUUUCGGGUGCUUGAAAACGAUUUUCAACUGCUGGAGCAGGACCAAGUACAAGUGACUUUCCACCAAGACUGGUUUGUGCAAUGGAGAGUCCACUUAAUACAUAGCAAGUAUGAUAGAGAUCACUUCGCUUGCCGGGUUUAUCUUUCAGACCUCCGGUCGGAUGUUGGCAGCAGAUGAGAAUGUAUUCCUGAAGGGCAGUGUUGUUAAAAAGAAACUGAUCUGGCGGUGAUUCACGCAUUAACAACUCAUGGAGUAGAGCAAAAGCACCCGCCUGCCAGAAAGAGUAACAACCAUCGACGAGUUUAUUCGUUCUACCUUGGAAUCCACCUUCAAAACGCGUUUGUCUAUUCACAAUCCAUCGCUGGAACACACAUCAUAAGAAUAUAAAUUUCUCCCAUUGAUAUAUUUGCAGUUAUUUACCAGCAAAUUUUCGGAAUCACACAAAUGUAGCUUCUGUAAAAGUACUAAUGCGGCCACACCACAAAAUGUAUAUCCACCAUGUGCUUCCAUCCCUGGAUAUCCAGAAAAUCCACCCUCAUAUGUUUGGCAACUUUUCACCCAUUCCGCGGUUCCAGCAAAUAAACCCACACUGGCAAUAUCUGUGAGUGUCGCUACUGUCAAGGCACAAUAUGCACCCCUAAUAUCAAUUUCUCCAUCAAUGUGCAUACUAAAUGCGCCUUCUGGCGAUCGUAAUGACCAUAAAAACGUGCGCAAGGUUUGUCUGUAAUCCCACAUUACUUGAUUGUGUACUUUGGUUUAAGAUUAAUUCAAUAGUUACCUAUUGAUACAUUUAUAGGCCUCCUCUGUUCCAAUAAUGCAUAGGGCAUUGACUGAUGCAAAUGUGGCUGCCAAGUGAGGAAGUUGGCCAGGACCACCUCCAAAACCACCUGUUGGGGACUGGCACCUAAUUAAAUAAUAAAUUAAUUUAUAACAAUAAAUAUAUAAAUAAAAUAAUACAUACUUUCCUAAGAAUUUAA